GAAUCUUCCACAAUGGACGAAAGUCUGAUGGAGCAAUGCCGCGUGAGUGAAGAAGGUUUUCGGAUCGUAAAACUCUGUUGUGAGGGAAGAACAAGUACGAGAGUAACUGCUCGUACCUUGACGGUACCUCAGUAGAAUGCCACGGCUAACUACGUGCACGCAGCCGGGGUAAUACGUAGGUGGCAAGGGUUGUCCGGAAUUAUUGGGCGUAAAGCGCGCGCAGGCGGUCCUUUAAGUCUGAUGUGAAAUCCCACGGCUCAACCGUGGAAGGUCAUUGGAAACUGGGGGACUUGAGUACAGAAGAGGAAAGUGGAAUUCCAAGUGUAGCGGUGAAAUGCGUAGAGAUUUGGAGGAACACCAGUGGCGAAGGCGACUUUCUGGUCUGUAACUGACGCUGAGGCGCGAAAGCGUGGGGAGCAAACA
Molecule: ribosomal RNA, 423 nt
Filed under: uncultured bacterium
Lineage: Bacteria
Description: bacterial SSU rRNA
Rfam family: Bacterial small subunit ribosomal RNA
Source: RNAcentral